GUUAAGGAAAAAGAAGGCUUGACUGCAAUUCUUGGAUUUUUCUCACAUGAAGAUUUUUUAGGAAAAAAGAAGUCUGACAUCAGAAAAUUAUAGUAUCAAGAUGCUUGAAUAUACAUUUCUGAAUAUCCUGAAUGUCUGAGGAACAGAAGCAAGCGAAAUAGGUCCUAUCCCACUUGUCCUGAGCCAUCCGGGAACAUUCUUAGGCUAAAAAUGAGGAAAUUGAGGCAAAUGGAGCUUAAGAGGAGUUUAAGUGAUUUCUUGCACGCCCCUUCCCCCUUUCCUCCUAGAUUUGAAAAGUUUCUUCUUUGAGAGUGACAACUGUGAUCUCAUCUUCAUAGAGGGCCCAACAGCACUGCUUCGAGCAUCUGCCCAUUGAACAGGCGGCACUCAGUCAGAGGGAGAGCCAAAGAUCAUUAAAGGUGACAGAGCAUUGAAUUUCCAGGAAGACUGCUUCCCAUCAGCAUCAAAUAUCACCUCUUCCUUUCAUGCUUCUCCUGGUAUCUGUAUUAUACAUCAUUUAUUUAAAACAGCUUUGAAAGAAGGUCACCGAGGGUUUUGGAUUGUAGGUUCACACUAAAAGUGAACCGCUACUUUUCAUUCCUAUUAUUGUCCAUUUACUGGGGGAAAAGAGUGUGGUGGGUGACCGGAGGCAAUGGCCUUAUUGGAGAGUACCAAAAAGGGCCAUGCGCCUCUGCACAAAUAAAGAUGAAGACCAUACUAUUAAGGCUCUAAAAUGGCUCUCAUUCUUGAGAGACAAAUGGUAAUUUUGUGCCUGUGUUACAUCUGCAGCCCAUCUCUUAAACUCUCAUACUAAUGCCCUCUCUAACGCAGGCAGGGACGGAUUGCCGCAGCGGGCCAGCCUUAGUGUCUGCAGCCCCGGUUUUUGGUAAUGAAUUGGAGUGAUCAGACAAUCCGAUCAAGCUUGUUUUAGCGUAAGUGGCAGCUUUAUGGGGAAGAACAAGAGGAGGUAGUGAGGGAUACAGGGAUGCAUCAUAAACCUGCAGGAUUUUUACAAGGCAAGAUAGAUGUUAAGAUAAUGAGAAUAGACUCACUUGUCAGAAGCUUUGUUGAAAAAAAAUAAAAAAAAGCUAAAGAGUUUUUUAUUAUUGUUGGUGAUGGUUUCAAGAGAGAAUGUGUGGUUAAUAUGUACAGAAAACAACAGCCCUCCUGAGCAGUUGAUAAGCCUCGAGAUGGGUAUAAAUCAAUAACCACAAUAAGCAUCUGCCUACGGUCACAAGGAAAGCCUGUGGAUAAAAUGAGAAGGAGCAACUUGAAGCACUAAGAUAUUUUCAUGCAUUAACUUUUGCAUGCCCAUCUGGAGUUUUCUCUCAUUAUCCUGGAUCUAAAUGAAGGAUCACACAGAGGAUGAGAGAAGCCAUCCAUUUGGGAUUUUACACUGGAUUUUCAUAAAACAUCCUUGUGGGGGUGAGACUUGGGAAAUAGGGCAAAAGGUAAAAAGUUGCAUCAUUAAAAUCCGCUUGAAAGAAAGAGGCAGAGAGCAGAAAUAAAUGACUGAUGCUUAGAAUAGAAAGAGGUUAAUGGUGGGGUGGCCCCUGAGUCCAAUUUUAGAGCUGAUAAUGUUCAAUGAAUUUAUUAACCUGGGAGAAGGAGUGGUUAGUGAGUCGGAAAGUUUGCUAAUGUUAAGGAAGUGUUUAAGGGAAUUGAAGAUGGAGAAAAUUGGGAGGACUUCAGAAGAUUCUCAACCUGGCUUAUGUUAAUUCAACUUGGGUAAAAAAAAAAAAAAAAAAAAAAAAAAAAAGAAUGGGAAUAACGAGGGAAUAGCACAGGACUAGACCUUUGGACUCUGAACAAAGUUUCUUCCCCUUAUUUUAGGAACGCAUGGAAUACCAAAUCAUGUUUACUGAAUUCUGGGAUAUCCUAAGAGGGAGUAGUCCAAGCUGCUUGUGUCCAUCAAUGAGUUAUAAAUGCAGUUUCCUAUCUAGAGGAAAAGAUCAGAAGUGUGGAGUUGUGACCAUCUAAAACUUACAAGUCUUUCUAAAAUAUAUUAGAUUAAUUUGUGGCAGUCAAUCUCACUUCAGGUAUUCUGAUAUUGGUAUCCUUCUCUUUUCCUGCCCUUCUCUGGAAAUGUUUAUAAACCAUACUUGUAUGUUCUGUUUGUCCCAGUGGACCUUCCUACUCAUAACUAGUAACUCCUUGCCUGGGACAUAAGAGGUGAAAACCUAAUCAGAUUUCCCUGAAGGAGAACCUUCUUUCUUCCUAUAAUACUCAGGACUUCCAGUAUGCCCAGUGAGAUUGAUACCUUCAUAUAAAGGUAGUUAUUAACCUGGUAUCCCAUCCCAGACUUAUUGGAAAAAGUAUCAAGGAGUUUAUUUAGGAGCUUGUCAGAAUUGGGCGUGUCAAGACCAUUACUGACACUCUUCCUCUUAUGUUUAAAGAUGAUUCUACCUCAGGUCUCAGAAAAAAUCCUGAUUGUAACUUUAUUUUGUUGCCUUCCCUCAGGGGCCUACACUCAAGUGUUUCAUUUGCGGCCUUGAGCCUCUAUUUGUAUGAGCUAAAGAAAUCCAUAUUAAAUGACCUAUUCCUUUAUGCAA
Antechinus flavipes (yellow-footed antechinus) is the source of this 2552-nucleotide long non-coding RNA. RefSeq lists it as uncharacterized. Lineage: Eukaryota; Metazoa; Chordata; Mammalia; Dasyuromorphia; Dasyuridae. The transcript has 4 exons. The record is from RefSeq and is a predicted model, not a curated record.